CCACUAUCUAAACCAAUUAUCCAAAACCAUUAACCCAUAAAUCCAUAUACAUAAACCUAUAUACAUUUACCCAUGAACCCAUACACAUUUAACCCAUAUCCAAGCCCAUAACCUUAACCAAGUCCAUGAACUUUGAACCAAAACCAUGGACCAAACCAUACACUAAAUCCUGUGGACCAUACCAUACACCAAAUCCACGAAUUAUGAAUCAAGUUCAUGAAUCAAAUCAAGUUCAUGAGCCAAGGAUCAUAAACCACAACCCAUACACCAAGUCCAUGAACCAUAAACCCAUACACCAAGUUCAUGAACCAUAAACCCAUGAACCAUAAACCCAUGAACCAUAAGUCCAUAAACCAUAAGUCCAUGAACCAUAAACCCAUGAACCAUAAGUCCAUGAACCAUAAACCCAUGAACCAUAUCUAAGUUCAUGAACCAUAAUCCCAUAUGCCCAAUACCAUAAACCUUGUGAGCCAAACCCAAAUCAAUCGACCGAGAUGUCGUUAAACUAAUCCACUAAACCCAAACCUUCGACCGAAACGUCGUUAAACUAAUCCACCAGAUCAAUCGACCGAGACGUCGUUAAACUAAUCCUCCAAUCCGAUAUCUACCGAAAUGUCGUUAAACUAAACUCAAGUUCAAUUUUCAUGAACAUCCCAAUUCCCAAAAUAGUCGAUUCUCUAGCAUAUAAAACUAGAGUCAAAUCACAAUCAUGUUCAAACUUGAUCAAAUUCUAAACCUAUAUUUAGAAUU
RNAcentral lists this long non-coding RNA (750 nucleotides) under Ananas comosus (pineapple). Its description in RNAcentral is "long non-coding RNA (ACOM_LNC013481)". Lineage: Eukaryota; Viridiplantae; Streptophyta; Magnoliopsida; Poales; Bromeliaceae. The record is from RNAcentral.